GAUCCUGGCUCAGAUUGAACGCUGGCGGCAGGCCUAACACAUGCAAGUCGAGCGGUAGCACAGAGAGCUUGCUCUCGGGUGACGAGCGGCGGACGGGUGAGUAAUGUCUGGGAAACUGCCUGAUGGAGGGGGAUAACUACUGGAAACGGUAGCUAAUACCGCAUAACGUCGCAAGACCAAAGUGGGGGACCUUCGGGCCGUCCAUGCCAUCAGAUGUGCCCAGAUGGGAUUAG
This 233-nucleotide ribosomal RNA is filed under the name uncultured bacterium. RNAcentral's name for it is "partial 16S ribosomal RNA". It matches the Rfam family "Bacterial small subunit ribosomal RNA", at positions 15 to 244 of the family's 1533-position model. The record is from RNAcentral.